Molecule: ribosomal RNA, 253 nt
Filed under: uncultured bacterium
Lineage: Bacteria
Description: partial 16S ribosomal RNA
Rfam family: Bacterial small subunit ribosomal RNA
Source: RNAcentral
UACGUAAGUGGCGAGCGUUGUCCGGAAUCACUGGGCGUAAAGGGCAGGUAGGCGGCCCGGUAAGUCUGAGGUGAAAUCCCAGGGCUUAACCCUGGAACUGCCUUGGAAACUGCCGGGCUGGAGGUCCGGAGGGGGAAGCGGAAUUCCGGGUGUAGCGGUGAAAUGCGUAGAUAUCCGGGAGAACACCAAUGGCGAAGGCAGCUUCCUGGCCGGAACCUGACGCUCAACUGCGAAAGCUGGGGGAGCGAACGGG